GGUUCUAAAGUAAAUUCAUAAAAAGAAUGUAAUAGAACUAAAAGGACGCGGUAACCUUGACCGUGAUAAUGUAGCAUAAUCACUCGCCAUUUAAUUGGUGGAUAGUAUGAAUGGUUGAACGAAUAUUCCACUGUCUUAAAGAGAAUUAAAAGAAAUUGAAAUAAUAGUUAAGAUGCUAUUUUAAACUGUAAGACGAAAAGACCCUAUAGAGCUUAACUAUAAUCUCUAUUAUAAUAACAAAUCAUUUAUUUGUAAGCUAUAGAGAUUGGUAGUUUAGUUGGGGCGACUAUCUUUUAAAUUAAACAAAGAUAAGCAAUAUUAAUAGAUAAUUUAUUGUAUAAUUAAUUUAUUUAACAAUUAUAAAAAUAGGCUAUAGUGACCCGUUAAUACUACGUAAAAAGAUUAACGAUCAAUUGAUAAAAGCUACCUUAGGGAUAACAGGAUAAUUUCAUUUUAGAGCUCCUAUCGAAAAUGAAGUUUGUCACCUCUAUGUUGAAUUAA
RNAcentral lists this ribosomal RNA (501 nucleotides) under Clytia gracilis. RNAcentral describes it as "partial 16S ribosomal RNA". It matches the Rfam family "Bacterial large subunit ribosomal RNA", at positions 1868 to 2540 of the family's 2925-position model. Lineage: Eukaryota; Metazoa; Cnidaria; Hydrozoa; Leptothecata; Clytiidae. The record is from RNAcentral.